ACGUUGGGUGACACUUCAAAAAUACCCAUCAGACAAGUAAGCAUUCUGUAAGCAGGCAACGGUGGUAGGAAGAAUAAUAAUGCUCAAGACAGCUCAGGAGCAAAGGAGUACUCUCUGACACUGGGAGGAUAUGGUAGUCCAUGCAGUGGUAGAUAUACAUCUUCAGCAGAAAGGAUAGUCUUGGUGUAAUCUUUGUCACAAGUUUGAGACUACUUAUGUUCCUUUGCAAAUGAUCUAUGAAUUAUAAUUUGUCUAGCUGACUCAUUUGUCCACAACUUGAGCACAUGCUUGUCCAUAAAUACUGACAUUUCAUCUCCUUAAUAGUUCUAUUUCUUAUUACAAGUGAAUGAGUCAGGCUUCUGAGUUUUAUAGAUUGUUCCUCUAAACUUGAUGAAUACAUUGGGUGUAUUGUCAACCUGGUGUAGAGAUCUGUGAGCUUACCAAACCUAGCCCUUUAUUCCUUGAGUUCCAGUCUGAAUAUUCCACCUUUGUUAUUUGACCACACUGGUAUCAUUUCUCUAAAUUGCAGCAUAUCCCAGAAUCUCAGAGCCCAGGCUCUCAGGUGCUUUUUUAUUUUUAUUUUUUUCUGUUUCUAAGUAGCUAAUUUAAUGGUGGCUAAUAUUUCUUGAGGGCUCACUACUUGUCAGGCCUAGCUGUGAGGGAUUUAUAUGGACCCCAUUAAAAUUAAGAAUUUAGCAUCUAAAGAGAUAUUUUUGCUCUUAUUAAAGUCACAGAGGAGAGAGAACAGAAAUGGGAAUUAGCCCUGAUGGGUGUGACUCAGAAUACCUUCAUAUUUCCACCAAGAUAACAUGUUUACCCAAGAAGGCAUGGUCUUUCUCAUCUUAAAUCUAUUUUAGUCACUUUUGAGUUGCUGUGAUAAAAUACCCUGACAAAAGUGACUUUAGAGAAAAAAGGUUGAUUUCGGCUCAUGGGUCCUGAGGGAUGAAGUCUAUUAUGAUGGAAACAGAAUGGAAAUAUGCAGUUAGGCACGAGGCUGUAAAAGAGGUGGUGCUAUCUGGUCACAUAGUAACUACAUACAGAACACAGUAAGUGAACACAAACUGGGAAUGGAUUACAAAGCCUCAAGCCCCACCUCUGGUAACCUACUUUUGCCAAUGAAACUUUGCCUUCUAAAUAGUCCAUAACCUUCCUAAACAGCACAGCUGAGGACCAAGUGUUCAAACACAUGAAUCUGUAGAGGGCAUUUCAUAUUGAAAUCAUGUCUUUUGUUUCAGCACAAAUACAGAACAUCUUCAAAUAUCUGUGUUUGAGUCCCAAAUCCUUGCAUCUUUCAAGGAUCCCUGUAACCUGAUCGCA
RNAcentral lists this long non-coding RNA (1317 nucleotides) under Mus musculus (house mouse). Its description in RNAcentral is "long non-coding RNA chr18:26209811-26211128". Lineage: Eukaryota; Metazoa; Chordata; Mammalia; Rodentia; Muridae. The record is from RNAcentral.